Molecule: long non-coding RNA, 13164 nt
Filed under: Malus domestica (apple)
Lineage: Eukaryota; Viridiplantae; Streptophyta; Magnoliopsida; Rosales; Rosaceae
Description: long non-coding RNA (MDOM_LNC005231)
Source: RNAcentral
AAUAUCUUGCCCGUUUUCAGCAGUGUAUCUUAUAUCAAUUAGAUCACCGUACCACAGCAAGCACCCAGUUCCUCCAUCCCGGAUAUCCAAAUUUGUAUAAGCCGUGCAGGAGCAGUUCUUCAUGCACACCAUCUCACAUUCCUUGAGGUUCAUACUUUUGUUAUGCCAUGAUUGUUCUGUGCUAGGCAAUUUCACCCCCGAGUACUUUUGGAACAUGUCUCCGGUGCAAUUUAGAGAAGUCUUUCUCACACAGCCAUGAGACCAAUCCACCAAAUCCCAUUCUUUCGGGAACUUUGGUGUAAAUCCUUUCAAACAGCUACAAACCGGGGACUCUUCAAUGUUACAUGCACCAUGUACACCACACAAUGCAUAGUUUACACAGUCAUCAAUUUUGGCUGAUUGGUAAAGAACCCAACCUCUGGUUCUAUCAAUCCAUGUGUAGCGCUGCACAAGUCCAUCUGAAGUUAACACCACCCUCGAAAAGAUUGAGUUGUUGUGAAGCUUGUAACUGUAGUACAUUUCAUCAGGCUCAGAAACAAAACUGUAUGUGAAUAUAGGGUUUGGAUUGAACUGAGGGCUUCCACUGAACCCGACUCCAUUCCAUGGUCCAGACCGAUAUUUAAUGACCGAACCUUCCCUCACAAAUAAUUCUGCAUAUCCCUUGGGACCAAGUUGAGAUGUACGAUUUCCUUGAGAAGGAUCCUGAGGACUUUUCCACGAUCUAAGAUGCCAAUUGAAGCCUGUAACUGUGUUCCUACCAAUCUUCAUACCUGGUAAGAAUGUAUCGCCAGGGUAAUCAAAACCUUGCCACAGAAAGUUCUCAGAGUCGUCAUCACUCCUAUCUAUCACGACAAGAUUACCCGAAUCCAAAAGACGUGCCACUGGAUUCUGUGCAGUUCUCGAUGUGUUGGAGGACCAAAUUGUGCUCAUGUUGUGGUUGAGGACAAGAAUUCCGGGGUUGGUGACCUUCAAAACGCCGGACAUAUCAGCGAGGGGCUUGUCUCUGUUGGCAACCCACACAAUGGUUGUAACAGAUAUCUGUUUACCAUAUCGCCACGUACCGUCUAUUAGAAGCAUCAGGAUAGUAAAAUCCUAGCUCAAACGUACCGCCAGUUGAAACUACAGUCUCACCGUCUCUAAUGGACUGAAAUGUACUCGUGGCGUCAUCAGCUGUGGAGAUUACGGCUGCGACCAUGAGCAGCAAAGAAGAGUAGAAAAGAAGCAAGCACAUCUUAGCUAAAGCAUUUGACGGAUUUUUCAUAAACUUCAUGGGAAAGCACUGAAUAUUGUCUGUCAUUUGAACACCUUAUUGAAAUAACGUUGAUACCUUUUCCUGCAAGCAACCAAUCAUUUUCAAGUUCAAUAUUGUUGAAUAGUCGGGUGCGUGAGAAAGUUGUCUUCAAUCCGAAGUAGACUUCGCAUUCGGUUAAGAAUGAUGUUGUCGUAGCCGGAUAUUUCACUAUGACAACUAAGAUUGUUCAUCUAGUAGAAAAUAUCCGAAUUAAUAUGUGGUCAUAUCCAGUUCCCUCGGCUCAAAGGAAACUUAAAUGUCUGAUUGGUGUACUCUCUCGCAUUAGUCUUGUAUUCGAUAUCGUUUUCUUUCCUUUUCAAUUCUUGUAAUUCAAGAUUAAUCCCACGUUAGAAAGUAUCAAUAAGAGCGUCUUCGGUGGGCGAUAAUAUUCCCUGUAACUGGUUGUAUAUCUCAUUGUGUCUAUCUCCCUAAUCACGUUAAGUUUUUCAUUUUCAAAGUCAAUCUGUUACACAUGUAAUGGAUCAAUUUGGUACCCUGUCAUUUUCUUUAGUUUAUACUAAAAAUUAUUGGCCGCACGUUGUUGCAGGAUUAAAAAUUGUAAAAAGCAUUAUAUUUGAAAGAUAUAAAAGAUUGUGUCAAGAAGAUUAAUACAACUCAUUGCUAUAUUUAAUUGAUACUCCACAUAAAAAUCGUAGAAGUUUUGGCUAUCUAUGUACAUAAAAUAUUAGAUCAACACAUUCCACUUAGGUAGUUUUUGUGAUUUUCGAUUGACAGCAGUACUUAAAUACGAAAGAUUACGAAACUUUGGGUUAUUUACAUGAAAAAAAUGUUAAGAAAUACUGUCAUUUACAUUGAUAAAAUAUGACAAAAAUUGUUCAAUGGAAUACCAAAAGAUCACUCCACUACUCUUGAUUGUCAAGAAAUUAGUUUAAACCAAUCCAAAGAUCAAAACUCUUUCAAAAUUCCAUGUGUAUUCAGUUUCUCUAAAUCAACCAACUUCUCCAUUCCAAACCAUCUAACAAAUAUUUGGCAGCAAUACAGCCAUCAACAAACAUUUUAAACCCAUUUCCAUGUGUAUUAAUGAUUUUCAACCAAAUUAUUUGAAGAUGGGGAAUCACAGAGCGAGCUUAAUUAGGAACCAAAGAAGAUCUGCAAAAGCAAGUUAAGAGAUCAUCGUACUACAGAAGCAAAUUACAUAAUAAAAUUAAGAGAGCAUUAUAUUACCAAAGCAUAAUAAUAUGUUCAUUUCCAAAUGUAUUACGAAAACCUAUUGUUUCAUUUUUUUUCAACCCACAAAAUUUACAGUUUAGUUCAAAAAAUUUGAUCUGAUUAUUAAUAUUCACACGGAAAAGAUACGACUCAAAUGAACUGGGCAUUUGAAGUCACUUUCUUAUUUCUUAUAACCACAUCAGUAUCAUAUAUAUAUAUAUAUAUAUAUACAAACGUAGCAAAACAGCCCAGAGUUUUGGAACUGUAUAAAACGUAGCAAAAAGAAAAUGGGUUUGUUUCUUCACUUUGUUCCUCCUCCUUUCUUCUGAUACGUAGGUGCUUUGACACUUUGUACAGCUCCAAAGCUGCCUCCUUGAGAAAACCAGUUUUUGGAAGCUCAACAAACCCUGCUUCUCCCAGAUGGUUCUGAACAAAGCUUCACCUGCAUCACUCGCACCAUGGUCUAUACACCUACAUGCAACUUUUGAUUUGAUUAUUAUAUAUUUUAUUAUGUCGAUACUCUACUAUAGAAACAAAAAUAAUUACACAAUACAAUUCAAAAGGAGAAAUAGUUCUUCAACCCAGUUGCAAGAGACGUCGAAAAUAAAGAAAUGGAGAUAUGUGUAUUAACUUGUUCAUAUUUGAACACAUAUACUUAUCUAUGAUAUAUUUUUUACAGUAGCACAUGGCUAAAGAUAUGUUACGCGAUAAUAUAUGUUAUGCCAAUUAUUGACUGAAGACAUGGCAGAAGAAGCAAAACGAAAAACAAUGGCAAAGAAUUUAGAGAGAGAAAGUGAAUGACUAAAGAUUGUAUUCCUUGAACAAUGAAGGAAUUCCAGAGAGAGGCGUUCGUUAUUUAUACAAGUAUUCUUUGCUUCACUCAUAAGCUACUUACCAACUUUCUUAUCCCUACAAAUCCCAACAGACUAACAGCCUUCCUACAAUCUCAACAAACUAACUGCCUCGCUGAUGUGUGCCUUGCUGAUGUGUAACCUUCAUGCUGAUGUGUCUGUAGAGCCAUACUGAUGUGUACAUAUCAGUCAACAGACCCAUGGCCUGAAGCAAUAACUUUAUGUUUCUUGAGUAUUCAUCUAAUAAAAGGCUAUUUGGGACAAGACUGGAUCUUUAAGAUAAUCUGAUGUGCUGCAACAACAUACAUGGAGACCUAGAAAACAAAAAGCAAAGAGCAUUGGUAAGUAAUAAUAAAACAUAAAAAGUACACAAAUUUAUCAACAAGCCAUGAAUGACCAAUCUUGUGAUAAUUCCAAAUCAUGUUUUUUUUUUUUUUUUCAAAUGGUAAUUCAUUCAACACGAUAGAACUCCCUGUAUACAAGGAGGAGAGAUAAGCAUAUGAGAACACCAAAUAAACUUCAAUAGACCAUCUUUUACAAUCACACACACUAGUAAAACUGCUUGCAAGUCACAAUCUUUCACAUAGUUUUUCCUAAACCCCAUGCAUGCUUCCCUCCUAGCAAAGCAGUUACAAACUUACAUGAUGUCUGACAUGGUUAAAGACAAGGGCAACUUUUACAAAAGAAACGCACCAAGUAAUCAACCACAGAGCAUUAUCGUGUCUAUCAAGUCUCACAUGUUUUGUACAUCCUAAAUAAUGAAAAAGCAUUAUCAUUCAAUUCCAUCUUUAGCAGCUUUGGCCUUAUGAAGAAUCGCAGCUGCUAAAGAUGCUAAGCAUGGAAAAUCAAAAGCGUCCAACAAUGAAUAUAAAGUGGGAUAAAGUAUGCAACAAGAAAAUAAAUCACUAGGCUGGGGGAGGAAAAGAAGUUGGACAAAGGACAUGAUUUUACAACAAAAAAGAUAUCCGAUAAUUUGGCAACUGAUUGCCAACAAACAGGUUCUUACAACGAAAAAUAAUGACACCACUGAUGCACAAGGACAACUUGCUUAGCAUACUAUGACCAUACCUUCCAAUAUACAACAGCAACUAACAAGAAAAAGAAGCACGAUGCAAAACAAGAAUCAAAUAGAAAACUAAGAAAAACGUUAGCCAAAACCUAUAUAUUUCAUCUCUCCCUUCCCCCUAAAAGAAAAUACUAACAAGGAAUAAGAAAAUCCCUGGCAGGCAACGUUACAUUGUCCCUUCAACCCCUUUUCCUACCAAAAUAUUUCCACCCAUAGAGACACCUCUUCGACUAUCUAUGUUAAUUGUUACAGUCUCAGGGAAAUGCUCUAAAACCCACAGUGAUGCAGCUCUCCAAUAUGGAUGAGUGACCGAGGGACAUUUCAAACCCAUUUUCCAAUCUAGCCUACGCAUUUUCUUACGAUUUCACCAUGCAAGAAAGGCUUCUCAGUGUGUGUUUAACUCCCAGUACAAAGGGUUAUUUAUGCCGAACCCAAUUUUUGUGAAAAAAAUUAUGGAAUUUGCCAAAACCCCUAAAAAUAUUUAGCUCAAACACUUCACAAACGAUGAUUCUGCACUAAUUUUACGACCCCAAAGCAUCUCUUCUUUCAUAAAACACAAUUUGGGUCAAAACCCAAAUGUAUCAAAACUCAAUUAUACACACUGACCAAUAAUCAGUAAAAUAACCAUUAAAAUGCAUCAAACUGAUUAACAUUUCAGCUGACCAAAUGCAGAAAGAACCAGCUUUUUCCAUCAUACAAAGCCAAGCUCACAACCGAACCCACUAAAUCGCACAGCUCGGAACCAGAUCCAAUUCUUUACAAACCAGAAUCGUAAUAAACCUUAAAAAUCAGACUUUGUUCUUUUUCCCAAGCACAAGUUAAACCAGAGAAACCAAGAAAACUAACUUAUUUUCUCAUAAUCAUCAUAUUUUCCCAAAAAAAUUGAAAUUUUCCAUGGAAAAAUCAAGAAAACGAACCUGGAGAUGCAGCGGCUACGGGAGAAGACCGAGAUUGAACCUGGAAUGAACAUGUUUUUUAAUUUUCUGAUUUUAUUGCUGCGGCAAACUAAUUAGAAGGGAAAUCCCAAAAUCAAGUCUUAUAUUUUGGAGGCAUGUUUUCACUAAAUCAGUGUUCGUGUGUCCCCAACAAAUUGAGUGAGUUUAUGGCUGUUGCAUAUAAGGCUAGAUUGGAACUCUAAUACAUUAGGAUAGUGGGUUCCAAAAAUUUAAGAGUAUGAACAGAAAGAAAAACGCAUCAGACCUCCUAGAAGCAAUUUUUUUUUUUUCAGUUGCAGAUCGAAGCAAUACAAAGAAAGAGAAACCGAGAGGCAGAUCGUACCUAGACUGGAGAUGCAGAGCUGAAGUUCACAGAGAAGGUUGCAAAGGGGAGAUGCAGAGGAUGAGGAGGAAGGUUGCGAAGGGGGGAGAUGCAGAGGAGAGGAAUGAGGAAGACAACGGCAAGGCAGAGAGAAGAGAUAUUGUUUUAGGGUUUGUAAUGAUUUAGAUGGUGUAAUUUUUGAAAAAGAUAUGGGGUAUAUUUGUCUUAAAAUGGUAAAAUAUUGUGUUCCACAGGCGUGGAACAACCUGUUCCAGGGGGUAGACGCGGGACACAAAAACACCCAAAUUCUGUCCCGUGGAACAGCACGUUCCACCCUAUUUUGGCGUACCAAAGGCGGGACGGAACGUCUUGUCCCGUUCCGUCCCGUCCCAUCCCGCUUACCAAACGCACCCUAAGUGACCCUGGUGUGAAUAUUUCCCAGAGCCGAACAAUACCCUUUUUGUGCACAGUUUUGUGCAAACUGUAACAGGACAGAAUGGUUAUGAUCAUUACUGGUAAAGAAUAAGCAAUAUGCAACACUCGAGAACAGUAUUUUAAUGUAAUCUGCCUAAGGCUCUGGGUUUAAAUUUCAUCAUCCAUGUCAACUGCAAUAUCGACCGUGAUAUGCAAUACUUCAGAUUAAAAUACUUGUAACGCAACUCCAUACUUGCCAACAUGGAAGCAAAAGGAGGAAAGGAAUGCAUAUUCUACUUUACCUUCUGAGUAAGCACUUGAAAGCUCUUUUUGAACUCUUUUGUGCUCAUCCUAAUUUUGUGAUCGCUCAAUUUCAAGUGUAGCCUCUCUUUUCUAGUGAGAGAUUCCACUACAACCUGAUAGGCAUAUUCAAGCAUUUAAUAAUCUACAGAAAUUAACUCAGCAAUAUUAAAUAUCAAACCCACUUACUUACCAUCUAUCUUAUCCAACUCUUAUUUCGGUUUCUCUGUCAAAGCUUCGCAAUAAUCUAAUUCAAUUACUCUUCCUUGCUUUUUAAUAAGAUCCCUACAAUCAAACAAACAUAAUUAUUCUAGUAAACACAUUCGAAUUCAAACACAUAAAAGAUGUUAUUCAUACCCAUAUCGUCAUAUUGCUGCUCUGAUCUUGAAAAAUUAAAAUUAAUAAUAAUCGUUCAAAUCAUAUUACAAUAUAUCACAAACUAUGACAUCUGAUAAUCAAUACAUUUAAGAAAAUUUAAAAUGAAUUCAAUUCACUCCAAACGGUGAUAUUAUAUGUUCACAUAUAUAUUCACAACAACAACAAAAUCACUUUCUAGCCACUGGGAUAAAAAUAAGAACAGAAAACAUUAAUUCGAGUGCACAUAUGAACAUCACAUAAAAAUCAUAACAAAAUCCAAAACAGAAGGAGAGAUAACAAAAAUGAUAAUUUUUUGGGACUUACAAUUACAAUUAACCGAGUGUUGACUAGCCAGCCUGUCCAGGUUCGGUUAUACUUAACUCCAUGUCAUGAGUAGCUGUCCAACCAGGUUCAUAGGUUCAUAGCCUUGUUGGGGAGAUCAUGGGAAUGAACAAAUGGCACCCCGUUUGGCCACCCAAUCUCCAUUCUUAUAUUGGCACGGGGGCUAUCAAGUGUCUGAAUGUGAUUUUCACACUCCUUCACGUUGCAGAACCUCAGCUUGAUUCCCUUCUUGUCUGCAAUGUCUUGAACCCUUUCCUUCAGGACUCUCUGGGCCUCGACCCAUAAUCUCUUGGAAGGUGGCAGAGGUUUGUUUCUUUCACUCUUUCUCCUCCUCAACAAAGGCUUCAUAGAUCCUGUACCAGCAUUUCAUCGAUCCAAGGACCUGCUGUUAAAAGCUUCUCACAUAAGAGAUACACAUAAACACGUGCAAUCCAAUAUCAAGAGGACUCAAGAGACGGAUAUAAUUUUUAGAAGAUAAAACUAGAUUGAAGAUCCUUGUUAUGACAGCAGAAAUGCAAAAACUAUUAAGUAGUUGAUGAUUACUAUCAAUAGAGUUGGACUUAAUUUAGCUUAUACAUUGAACUUAUUUUUAGUGUGUGCAUGUGCUUCAUUCAGUCAGUAAGACCAAUCCUAAUUAAAGUAAGCUGUCAUUAAAAAAAUUGCAUUCAUGAAAUCAAUUUACAGUAUGUAACAAGCAGGCAAUUGGUAAAGAAGAUUAAAUGCAGCAUACCAUCUUGUGCUGCAUGGAAAUUGGAACUUUGGAAACUGUGUCUGUUAAAGAGUUGAUCGGUGGGGUGAGAUCUCUGCAUAAAGUCAUCAACCGCUACUGGAAGCUGGAACUGAGCUUCAACCCCAUGACCAGCAGCUCUCAUCUCUGAACAACUAAGACUGGUCAUGGAUUUAGGCAUGAAUUUAAAAGCCAAAGAACAUCGCCUAAACAAGUUGCUCUGUGUAUUAGCAGUCUCCGUUCUCUGUAGUGCAGGGUUAACAUAUCCUGCAGUUGCCUGAUAGAGUGCGAGUCCAGGGUAAACAAUAGCUUCUUGAGGACCAAGAUCGUCUUCCACAAGAACCCAACGACCCUGAAAGUCCUUUAUGUGUAGACCAGCCUUGUCUGACUUGACAAGAGAUAUCAAGCUUUUGUCAACUUGAUGCUCAUGGUCAGAAAACAUAACCAACUGGCCAUCCUCUUGGGUCGUAAAACUAUGGUGUUAUGUAACCUGAAAUGAUGGCCUUGCAUGACAACAGACAGAUAAUACUGAAGAAGAUAUUUACCUGUUUCUUAAGGGAACAUUAUCAAGUACUUCAGUAAAUGGUGAACUCCUCAAGUUCAAAUAGAAGCUGAUAGUGUCCAAUAUAUCUCGAGCUGCCUUUGCAAGCAGUGAAAAUAUAUCUGGUAAAGCUGCUGGAGCAAAUUCCAUUGUGUUGUCGGGCUCUAAAGGAGUGAGUCCAGGUCUGUAAUCAUAGGUUUCUAGCCACAAUUGAGGAUCUGCAUUAUAACCGGAAGUCUUGCACCAGUCACGAGGGUCAUUGUUAUUAACCAUAUCUGCAGCUGGGUAUGAUGCUUUCUGGUGGAAGUAGAGGCGAGCCGAAUCUAAACCCGACCUCAAAAGUGCCCCAUCACUCACUGGAAACUGAAUGAUGGCAGCAGAAUAGAGUGCUAGUGAUUGUGACAAAGUUGAAACAGAUAGUCUGUAAGAAUCUGAUGGAAGGCCUUCAGCAGGUGCCAGAUCAGUUAGCUUCACACGACCUAGAGAUGGCAGGCCAUUACUUGCCAUGACACCCUUUGGGUAUACUUGCUACCUGAUUUUGAAGAGAGGCACAGGUUACCACUGACAUAACUCAAAAUUAAUAAACUGAAAACAGCAUAAUCAUUCAUCAAUCAGAAUCUCCUCUCUUUUUUAAUGAGAAUUUAGGAACUCCUUGACCCCUAAGUUGAAGCCACAAAAACUGAACCAUCUACGUACUGUAAAGAAAGAAAGUAUAUGAAGCAUAAAUAUAUACGUACAAAUACAUGUGUGUACAUAUAUGAACGUUUUAUAUUGAAAAAGUGCUCUCCUAAGGUCCUUAAAAAUGUCAAGCUGCUCAACUAUUGAUCGUAUAUGUAUGCUAGAAAUGCAAGAUCUAUGAUACGUUGCAUGCCGAGGGGACAUUUGACCUAUGUAUGGAUAAAGUUAGAAACCAAGUUUUCCAAAUUACUAGUAUGAGCAACCAAGACAAAAACUUUUCUUAUUAAACUUGGAUCUAAUAAUCUCGUUAGUCAGGAAAUUGAAGUGAUGUCCAAAAUCUGCCACAAUGUCAUCUAAACUCAACACAAACUAGCAGUGUGGCUAAGUCAAACGAUUGUCUGAUACGAAAAAAGUAAAAUUGCUUAACAGUUCUGCAAGAUGAAGACUAAAUGCUACAGCAUCGACCGGAAACACUCUUCCAGACACUAAACCAUAUUCCUUCCAAGUAUAUUGUCCAAACGGGGUAGUCUUUGCUCAUACAGAAGAUUGAAAAUCUUUAAACACACUCGAUGCAGCGAGGAACGAUUACUGUCUCCAUUAAGAUUUAUGCAACUGUUAAAAUGUUGGGUUUGUUUAAAAAAUUGUACUACUUUUCUCCCCAAUUUUCAAAUAAACAAAUCAUAAGUGGCAAGAGCCCAUAAGACCAAUUGGCAACAAUUUGCAAUCCAGAUUUUAGCUUCAUUUAUUGUUACCCAUCAACUAACUCAAUUCAAAAAGUGGAAAAAAAAACUGGAACAAUUUGUUUCCUUUACUUCCAUCUAGUAAAUAUAGAAAUGGUUCAAGAACACGGGAAAUUCCCAAUUCUCAAAACAAACAGAGAGAGAGAAAGAACUGACCUUUAUUGGUAGAAAAUGUUAAAUUCAGGGGAAGAUUAGGGCUUUACAAAAGGACGAGAGGAGAGGAACACACAACACAGUGCUUUUUUUUUAUUUACGGUUACAUCUUAAUGGUGGAUUUGACUUGCGGCAACGAAAACUUGGUGAUGAGAUGAAAAUUUUGGAUUUGGAAGUGACGGAACACAGAGGUUGUCGAAAGCCAUAUCACAUACUUAGACAUGUCUUUCCGCGUCUUAUGCUAGAGAAAUUUAUGUAAGAAGUAACUAUUGUUAUUCACACGUCUAUUUUUAUUUCAAAUAUUUUUAUUAAUGUUUAGCCUUGAUUUUUUUCAAUUUACUCAAUUCGAGGAGCAAAUAUUGAAAGGAUGUGUCAUAAGUAAAAAUUUGUGUGUAGAUAACAUUACUUUCUAUUUUAUAUACAAUUGUUAUUUGGGGUUUUUAAUCUGUUUUGGGGAAUUCAACAAAACCGUCAUAAAACUUAUUUUCAUAGAACUUUCGUUGUUUUGUAAAAUUUUUCAGAAUUCAUUUAAAACGUUUCGAAAAUGUUCCAAUUGAUGAAAAUUUGUUCUAGCCGCAUACUGAAAUCUAUUGGAAUUUUUUCACGUUAAAUUUUUUUUUUUUUGGCCUUAAAAAUGAACAAUGCUUGGCCACUCAAGAAUAAAAAUAUCUCAGAAACAAUUCAUAAUACUUUUAUCAAUUUCUAUCAUAUGUUUUUAUAUAGCUCAAUGACUAAACAACAUCAUAUUUUAUUUUUAUUUUUUUGUUGAAAAUCUUUACGAAUCGAUUUAUAAUAUGACAGUUCCGAUCACAUUCACAAACUUUUAUGAAUCGGCCUGAAGAGUGCAUCUAUGUGACAAUGACUUAUAUAACAUUGUCUUCCAAUUGAAGAAGUUAUAGGAAAAUCAAGAGACAAAAUAAAGAUAGAAGUGCGUACAAAAAUCAUUUCCAAUAUUUUAUCGAGCCUCGACUAGUGAAAUAGUGACUUCAUUAACUGAGCAUGCUUUAGAAGAAUGACCAACUUCGAGUUCAGUCAGAUCCCUUUCACUGUAAAAACCAGGUUUUAGAGGUGGGGGCAACACACCUCCACCACCCAACAUUAGAACUACAGCUGACAUGCUAGGCCUGUCUUCUGGAUUCCGUUGUACGCACAAAAGGCCCACAUGAAUCGUUCUUACAACUUCAUGCAGAGUGACGGAGUCCUCUACCGAUGCAUCAAGCAAUUUGAGAGGCAUGCCUUCUGUGUAUAACAUCCAAGCCUAAAACACGCAAACUAGGCUACUUAACAAAAGUAACAAAGUAGAGCAAUAAGAAUUUUUAACUUGACAUUUGAUGCUGUCACACUCACAUGUCCAAGAAGGUUGAGUUUGUGGUCUGGAUGAGAGAAUCCUCUAUUUCUGCUCCCACUCACUAUCUCUAGCACCAGAACACCAAAGCUAUAGACGUCGGAUUUUAUAGAGUAGAAACCAUCAAUUGCAUAUUCUGGAGACAUGUAACCGCUGUAGACCAAUGUGUCAAAAAACGUUUUUAUACGCAAAGAAUCUAGACUUUCUAGUUUCUAUUAGUGUUUUUGAAAAUUCGUAAAAAAGGACUCGUACAAUUGUGUUUUAGGAUACUUACUAUGUUCCGACCACUUUCUUCGUUUUUGCUUUCGUUUCAUUUCCUCCAAAGCUUCUAGCUAGGCCAAAGUCUGAGAUUUUCGGGUUAAAUUCACUGCCUAAUAAAAUGUUACUUGCUUUGAGAUCUCUAUGAAUAACUCUCAAUGUAGAAUCUUGAUGAAGAUAGAGGAGCCCUCGAGCUAUCCCAUUAAUAAUUUCAAAGCGCUUCGACCAGUCUAAUAACAUCCUUCUUCUUUGAUCUGCAAAAUAUCAUAAUUCACAAUUGUCAAAAAAUACAUCGUGCUAGGCUGCUUGCAUAAGCGGACUAAUCGAACUAAAUGCAAGGUUUUUGAGUGGUCAAACCAAAAAUAAAGAAGUCUAAGCUCUUGUUAGGCAUGAACUCGUAGAUCAAUAUCAUCUCGUCUUCUUGAAUGCAGCAUCCAAGAAGCUUCACUAGAUUCCUGUGCUGAAGUUUGGCAAUAUGUGUAACUUCAUUCUUGAACUCGUCGAGUCCUUGUCUAGAACUUUUUGAAAGCCUUUUCACUGCGAUUUCUUGUCCAUCUUCCAUCGUACCCUAAAAUCCAUCAACGUAUGUUAUGACCAAAAUUCAUACUUUGUAGUUUGCACACUACUUGUAUCCAUCAUUCCAUAUUAUGACCAGAAGUACAUGUAUCUAUACAACUUCGAAACUAUGAAGGACUAUCUGGUUUGACCUUAAAGACAGAUCCGAAACCGCCUUCACCAAGUUUGUUUUCAAUUGAAAAGUUACUGGUUGCAGAAACUAUAGUCAUCAAGUCAAAUAACGGUAAUUCCAGAUCCUCCUUUUGGUUGCGACCUAGUUUUCCUGCAAAGACGCAGUGACAGGUGAAAAAAAAUUCCCUAUACAACCGAACUAUGUAGUUUGGAAAGUAGAGAGGCAGAAUAGUGCUACCAACUUACCACCUUUUUGGUGCUGCUUCUUCCAAACAUAAAACAGCAAGGCAAGGCCCAGGAUCAGCAGUCCGAUAGACAACACAGUAGUGCUUAUUAUGAUCCUCAUUUUCUUUGCAUUGGAUUCAGAGUAUUUAGCGUUGAUCUUUGUAUCGUCUUCAUAAUCUACAAAUGAUAUUUUUGAAGACAAAAAAUCUAUGAGGUGGAGAGUAAUAAAUAAAUAAAUAAAUAAUGUAUAAUGUCUAUCAUCCGACUAAUAGUUUCUAGUUUGUGAGACAAUUGUAAAAGAAGAUAUUGCUAAUUGUGUCAAAAUUCACAGUUAAAACUGUCCGAAUUAGUACAAUGUUUCACUUCGUUAUGUCUUGACUUUGUUUCGAGCAUAUGAUUAUGACUAAAUGCAUAGUCACCAACAAGUGCUUUUUACAUACCUUGUUCUGCUGCGGCCAUUCUUAUAUAAAUAUCUUGCCCGUUUUCAGCAAUGUAUCUUAUAUCAAUUAGAUCACCGUACCAAAGCAAGCACCCAGUUCCUCCAUCCCGGAUAUCCAAAUUUGUAUAAGCCGUGCAGGAGCAGUUCUUCAUGCACACCAUCUCACAUUCCUUGAGGUUCGUACUUCUGUUAAACCAGGAUUGUUCUGUGCUAGGCAAUUUCAACCCCGAGUACUUUUGGAACACGUCUCCGGUGCAAUUUAGAGAAGUCUUUCUCACACAACCAUUAGACCAAUCUACCAAAUCCCAUUCUUUCGGAAACUU